UACAGAGGGUGCAAGCGUUGUUCGGAAUUAUUGGGCGUAAAGAGCGUGUAGGCGGUCCGGUAAGUCAGCUGUGAAAGUCAAGGGCUCAACCCUUGAAUGCCGGUUGAUACUGUCGGGCUAGAGUCCGGAAGAGGCGAGUGGAAUUCCCGGUGUAGCGGUGAAAUGCGCAGAUAUCGGGAGGAACACCAAUGGCGAAGGCAGCUCGCUGGGACGGUACUGACGCUGAGACGCGAAAGCGUGGGGAGCAAACAGG
RNAcentral lists this ribosomal RNA (253 nucleotides) under uncultured bacterium. Its description in RNAcentral is "partial 16S ribosomal RNA". It matches the Rfam family "Bacterial small subunit ribosomal RNA", at positions 524 to 776 of the family's 1533-position model. The record is from RNAcentral.